AUUGAACGCUGGCGGCAGGCCUAACACAUGCAAGUCGAGCGGAUGAAGGGAGCUUGCUCCUGGAUUCAGCGGCGGACGGGUGAGUAAUGCCUAGGAAUCUGCCUGGUAGUGGGGGAUAACGUCCGGAAACGGGCGCUAAUACCGCAUACGUCCUGAGGGAGAAAGUGGGGGAUCUUCAGACCUCACGCUAUCAGAUGAGCCUAGGUCGGAUUAGCUAGUUGGUGGGGUAAAGGCCUACCAAGGCGACGAUCCGUAACUGGUCUGAGAGGAUGAUCAGUCACACUGGAACUGAGACACGGUCCAGACUCCUACGGGAGGCAGCAGUGGGGAAUAUUGGACAAUGGGCGAAAGCCUGAUCCAGCCAUGCCGCGUGUGUGAAGAAGGUCUUCGGAUCGUAAAGCACUUUAAGUUGGGAGGAAGAGCAGUAAGUUAAUACCUUGCUGUUUUGACGUUACCAACAGAAUAAGCACCGGCUAACUUCGUG
This 484-nucleotide ribosomal RNA is filed under the name uncultured bacterium. RNAcentral's name for it is "partial 16S ribosomal RNA". It matches the Rfam family "Bacterial small subunit ribosomal RNA", at positions 30 to 507 of the family's 1533-position model. The record is from RNAcentral.